This 603-nucleotide ribosomal RNA is filed under the name Trametes cf. versicolor LSPQ-NSM-122. RNAcentral describes it as "LSU rRNA". It matches the Rfam family "Eukaryotic large subunit ribosomal RNA", at positions 62 to 649 of the family's 3401-position model. Lineage: Eukaryota; Fungi; Basidiomycota; Agaricomycetes; Polyporales; Polyporaceae. RNAcentral also lists the same sequence under 1 other name. The record is from RNAcentral.
AAACUAACAAGGAUUCCCCUAGUAACUGCGAGUGAAGCGGGAAAAGCUCAAAUUUAAAAUCUGGCGGUCUUUGGCCGUCCGAGUUGUAGUCUGGAGAAGCGUCUUCCGCGUUGGACCGUGUACAAGUCUCUUGGAACAGAGCGUCAUAGAGGGUGAGAAUCCCGUCUUUGACACGGACUACCAAUGCUUUGUGAUGCGCUCUCAAAGAGUCGCGUUGUUUGGGAAUGCAGCGCAAAAUGGGAGGUGAAUUCCUUCUAAAGCUAAAUAUUGGCGAGAGACCGAUAGCGAACAAGUACCGUGAGGGAAAGAUGAAAAGCACUUUGGAAAGAGAGUUAAACAGUACGUGAAAUUGCUAAAAGGGAAACGCUUGAAGUCAGUCGCGUCGUCCGGAACUCAGCUUUGCUUCGGCUUAGUGCACUUUCCGGUUGACGGGCCAGCAUCGAUUUUGACCGCUGGAAAAGGGCUGGAGGAAUGUGGCACCUUCGGGUGUGUUAUAGCCUUCAGUCGCAUACAGCGGUUGGGAUCGAGGAACGCAGCGCGCCUUAUGGCUGGGGUUCGCCCACAUUCGCGCUUAGGAUGCUGGCAUAAUGGCUUUAAACGACC